GAGAAGGGUGUCGUAGAAGAGCGUUACUUCGACUGAGGAUCGGCGGGUCGGGAGUUCGAAUCUCCCCUUUCUCU
Molecule: transfer RNA, 74 nt
Filed under: Cytophagales bacterium
Lineage: Bacteria; Pseudomonadati; Bacteroidota; Cytophagia; Cytophagales
Description: tRNA-Leu
Source: RNAcentral